This 374-nucleotide ribosomal RNA is filed under the name Nematoda sp. Its description in RNAcentral is "SSU rRNA". It matches the Rfam family "Eukaryotic small subunit ribosomal RNA", at positions 252 to 626 of the family's 1831-position model. The record is from RNAcentral. Lineage: Eukaryota; Metazoa; Nematoda.
CUGAAUAACUCCGCAGAUCGCAUGGUCUAGUACCGGCAACAUAUCUUUCAAGUGUCUGCCUUAUCAACUUUCGAUGGUAGUUUAUGUGACUACCAUGGUUGUAACGGGUAACGGAGAAUUAGGGUUCGACUCCGGAGAGGGAGCCUGAAAAACGGCUACCACAUCCAAGGAAGGCAGCAGGCGCGCAAAUUACCCACUCUCCGCACGAGGAGGUAGUGACGAAAAAUAACGAGACAGUUCUCUUUGAGGUCUGUCAUCGGAAUGGGUACAAUCUAAACCCUUUAACGAGGAUCUAUUGGAGGGCAAGUCUGGUGCCAGCAGCCGCGGUAAUUCCAGCUCCAAUAGCGUAUAUUAAAGUUGUUGCGGUUAAAAAG